RNAcentral lists this ribosomal RNA (485 nucleotides) under Phaeoacremonium sp. olrim242. Its description in RNAcentral is "eukaryotic LSU rRNA". The stretch from base 167 to 320 matches the Rfam family "5.8S ribosomal RNA". Lineage: Eukaryota; Fungi; Ascomycota; Sordariomycetes; Togniniales; Togniniaceae. The record is from RNAcentral.
UCCAAACCCUUUGUGAACAUACCUGUUUCGUUGCUUCGGCAGGCCCCGGGGUCACCCCCGGGCCCGCCGCCGGCCCCCUCUCCGGGGCGCAUGGCGGGCCUGCCGGAGGGCACAGACUCUGUAUUCAAGAACGUACCUCUCUGAGUUAUCUUUACAAACAAGUAAAAACUUUCAACAACGGAUCUCUUGGUUCUGGCAUCGAUGAAGAACGCAGCGAAAUGCGAUAAGUAAUGUGAAUUGCAGAAUUCAGUGAAUCAUCGAAUCUUUGAACGCACAUUGCGCCCGCUAGUAUUCUGGCGGGCAUGCCUGUCCGAGCGUCAUUUCAACCCUCAGGCCCUGGUUGCCUGGUGUUGGGGCGCCGCGUCCCCCAGCGGGCGCGGGCCCCGAAAGUCAGUGGCGGGCUCGCCAGGACUCCGAGCGCAGUAGUUUACACCUCGCUGCGGAGGACCUGGCGGGUUUCCCGGCCGUAAAACACCCCAAAUCUC